GACGAACGCUGGCGGCGUGCUUAACACAUGCAAGUCGAACGGAAAGGCCCUGCUUUUGUGGGGUGCUCGAGUGGCGAACGGGUGAGUAACACGUGAGUAACCUGCCCUUGACUUUGGGAUAACUUCAGGAAACUGGGGCUAAUACCGGAUAGGAGCUCCUGCUGCAUGGUGGGGGUUGGAAAGUUUCGGCGGUUGGGGAUGGACUCGCGGCUUAUCAGCUUGUUGGCGGGGUAGUGGCUUACCAAGGCUUUGACGGGUAGCCGGCCUGAGAGGGUGACCGGCCACAUUGGGACUGAGAUACGGCCCAGACUCCUACGGGAGGCAGCAGUGGGGAAUAUUGCACAAUGGGCGGAAGCCUGAUGCAGCAACGCCGCGUGCGGGAUGACGGCCUUCGGGUUGUAAACCGCUUUCGCCUGUGACGAAGCGUGAGUGACAGUAAUGGGUAAAGAAGCACCGGCUAACUACGUGCCAGCAGCCGCGGUGAUACGUAGGGUGCGAGCGUUGUCCGGAUUUAUUGGGCGUAAAGGGCUCGUAGGUGGUUGAUCGCGUCGGAAGUGUAAUCUUGGGGCUUAACCCUGAGCGUGCUUUCGAUACGGGUUGACUUGAGGAAGGUAGGGGAGAAUGGAAUUCCUGGUGGAGCGGUGGAAUGCGCAGAUAUCAGGAGGAACACCAGUGGCGAAGGCGGUUCUCUGGGCCUUUCCUGACGCUGAGGAGCGAAAGCGUGGGGAGCGAACAGGCUUAGAUACCCUGGUAGUCCACGCUGUAAACGGUGGGUACUAGGUGUGGGGUCCAUUCCACGGGUUCCGUGCCGUAGCUAACGCUUUAAGUACCCCGCCUGGGGAGUACGGCCGCAAGGCUAAAACUCAAAGGAAUUGACGGGGCCCCGCACAAGCGGCGGAGCAUGCGGAUUAAUUCGAUGCAACGCGUAGAACCUUACCUGGGUUUGACAUGGAUCGGGAGCGCUCAGAGAUGGGUGUGCCUCUUUUGGGGUCGGUUCACAGGUGGUGCAUGGCUGUCGUCAGCUCGUGUCGUGAGAUGUUGGGUUAAGUCCCGCAACGAGCGCAACCCUUGUUCACUGUUGCCAGCACGUUAUGGUGGGGACUCAGUGGAGACCGCCGGGGUCAACUCGGAGGAAGGUGGGAUGACGUCAAGUCAUCAUGCCCCUUAUGUCCAGGGCUUCACGCAUGCUACAAUGGCUGGUACAGAGAGUGGCGAGCCUGUGAGGGUGAGCGAAUCUCGGAAAGCCGGUCUCAGUUCGGAUUGGGGUCUGCAACUCGACCUCAUGAAGUCGGAGUCGCUAGUAAUCGCAGAUCAGCAACGCUGCGGUGAAUACGUUCCCGGG
This 1342-nucleotide ribosomal RNA is filed under the name uncultured bacterium. RNAcentral's name for it is "16S ribosomal RNA". It matches the Rfam family "Bacterial small subunit ribosomal RNA", at positions 28 to 1378 of the family's 1533-position model. The record is from RNAcentral.